RNAcentral lists this transfer RNA (65 nucleotides) under Osmylidae sp. EMHAU-20151229-16. RNAcentral's name for it is "tRNA-Asn". The record is from RNAcentral. Lineage: Eukaryota; Metazoa; Arthropoda; Insecta; Neuroptera; Osmylidae.
UUAAUUGAAGCCAAAAAGAGGCUUAUCACUGUUAAUGAUAUUAUUGAAUAAAUAUUCCAAUUAAA